AAUUUUGGACAAUGGGGGAAACCCUGAUCCAGCCAUCCCGCGAGUAUGAUGAAGGCAUUCGGGUUGUAAAGUACUUUUGGCAGAGAAGAAAAGGUAUCCCCUACUACGGGAUACUUCUGCAGGUAUCUGCAGAAUAAGCACCGUCUCACUACGUGCCAUCAGCGGCGGUAAUACGUAGGAUGCAAGCGUUAAUAGGAACUACUGGGCGUAAAGCGUGUGUAGGCGGUUCGGAAAGAAAGAUAUGAAAUCCCAGGGCUCAACCUUGGAACUGCAUUUGUAACUGCCGAGCUAGAGUAUGUCAGAGGGGGGUAGAAUUCCACGUGUAGCAGUGAAAUGCGUAGAUAUGUGGAGGAAUACCGAUGGCGAAGGCAGCCCCCUGGGAUAAUACUGACGCUCAGACACGAAAGCGUGGGGAGCAAACAGG
RNAcentral lists this ribosomal RNA (424 nucleotides) under uncultured bacterium. RNAcentral's name for it is "partial 16S ribosomal RNA". It matches the Rfam family "Bacterial small subunit ribosomal RNA", at positions 360 to 776 of the family's 1533-position model. The record is from RNAcentral.